RNAcentral lists this ribosomal RNA (520 nucleotides) under uncultured Glomus. Its description in RNAcentral is "SSU rRNA". It matches the Rfam family "Eukaryotic small subunit ribosomal RNA", at positions 569 to 1089 of the family's 1831-position model. Lineage: Eukaryota; Fungi; Glomeromycota; Glomeromycetes; Glomerales; Glomeraceae. The record is from RNAcentral.
AGCAGCCGCGGUAAUUCCAGCUCCAAUAGCGUAUAUUAAAGUUGUUGCAGUUAAAAAGCUCGUAGUUGAAUUUCGGGGUUAGUAGGUUGGUCAUGCCUCUGGUAUGUACUGGUCUCACUGAUUCCUCCUUCCUGAUGAGCCGUAAUGCCAUUAAUUUGGUGUUGCGGGGAAUUUGGACUGUUACUUUGAAAAAUUAGAGUGUUUAAAGCAGGCUCACGCUUGAAUACAUUAGCAUGGAAUAAUGAAAUAGGACGUUUGAUCCUAUUUUGUUGGUUUCUAGGAUUGACGUAAUGAUUAAUAGGGAUAGUUGGGGGCAUUAGUAUUCAAUUGUCAGAGGUGAAAUUCUUGGAUUUAUUGAAGACUAACUACUGCGAAAGCAUUUGUCAAGGAUGUUUUCAUUAAUCAAGAACGAAAUUAGGGGAUCGAAGACGAUCAGAUACCGUCGUAGUCUUAACCAUAAACUAUGCCGACUAGGGAUCGGGAUGAUGUUAAUUUUUUAAUGUACUUCAUUCGGCGCCUU